Molecule: long non-coding RNA, 284 nt
Filed under: Solanum tuberosum (potato)
Lineage: Eukaryota; Viridiplantae; Streptophyta; Magnoliopsida; Solanales; Solanaceae
Description: long non-coding RNA (STUB_LNC004157)
Source: RNAcentral
CUAUUUGCCUCUGCAUAUUUAGAAAUAAAUAGUCACUACUGUUGCUCUUUUCGCUCCAUUCCUCAAAAAAAAUAAACAAUGUCAUGUCAAGUCAUCAAUUCGUAGAACAAUCUGGUCUGAGAUUGUUGCAGCAUAUUGUUGUUUUCUAGCGUGGGUGUAGCGUCAACAUGUUGAUUCAUACAAUGGAAAUAGCCAUCAUGAAAUUGUUGCAGCAUAUUGCUGUUUUCUAGAAAGCUUACUCCAGCUAACAUCUGUGCCACAUUAUAACUUCUAGCUGAAUCCUA